GAUGAACGCUGGCGGCGUGCCUAAUACAUGCAAGUCGAGCGAACGGACGAGAAGCUUGCUUCUCUGAUGUUAGCGGCGGACGGGUGAGUAACACGUGGAUAACCUACCUAUAAGACUGGGAUAACUUCGGGAAACCGGAGCUAAUACCGGAUAAUAUUUUGAACCGCAUGGUUCAAAAGUGAAAGACGGUCUUGCUGUCACUUAUAGAUGGAUCCGCGCUGCAUUAGCUAGUUGGUAAGGUAACGGCUUACCAAGGCAACGAUGCAUAGCCGACCUGAGAGGGUGAUCGGUCACACUGGAACUGAGACACGGUCCAGAGUCCUACGGGAGGCAGCAGUAGGGAAUCUUCCGCAAUGGGCGAAAGCCUGACGGAGCAACGCCGCGUGAGUGAUGAAGGUCUUCGGAUCGUAAAACUCUGUUAUUAGGGAAGAACAUAUGUGUAAGUAACUGUGCACAUCUUGACGGUACCUAAUCAGAAAGCCACGGCUAACUACGUG
This 497-nucleotide ribosomal RNA is filed under the name uncultured bacterium. RNAcentral's name for it is "partial 16S ribosomal RNA". It matches the Rfam family "Bacterial small subunit ribosomal RNA", at positions 28 to 507 of the family's 1533-position model. The record is from RNAcentral.